UGAACCGUUUCCUACUUGAUUUAAGUGACAAUGAACAGAGUGUUUAUAUCUCUAUGAUGACAGAUUUUGCACACAUCAAAGCUAUUUCAAAAAAAAAUGUUUAAGUGUUUUAAAACUGGUAAUAUACUGAGAUUUAAUCAAAAAUAAAACCAGAGGUCUAUAGUAUAAAGUCUUCAUGGAGAACGAAUAUUUGACAUCAGCACAAAGAGAAUAUAUUAUGGACUUUAUGAAACCAAAAUCUGAAUCCAGAUGUAUAGUUUAUUAUAAAGGUACGCAGAAUAAAUAUGACAGUGCUCUAUGAAUCGCAGAACGCAGCACUACAGGCCUGUAAACACCUGUCAGCAUGCGUGGAGGCUCAUGUUUUGAAAAUAAGUUGGCAAAGUAGGCCGUAGUCUCAAAUUUGGCCUAAAUGUAGUCGGCUAAUGGAAACAUUUCUCACGCCAUUAUGGAAAAGGUUGAGACACAAUCCUAAAUAGCCUAUGUGCGCCUCAAAUAAAUGGGAUAAAUCUAUCUCUGAGCUACUCUAUUGAAUAUCAACCCUCUUGCACCAUGUCCACAUAAACGUAAAUGAAAAAAGUGCUAACUUAGAUGUACUAACUAUGAUUUUGUGAAUCAGCUGUAAAAAAUUCCUUAUUAAGAUGCCCACGUUUUCUGUGGGUUUUUUUUCUUUAUUUUGUUGGUUUUUUUUCCUCUAGGUGGUGGGGGAUGCAAAAGGAUAAAAAAGGUCCGUAUGUGGGAGCGCAAGGCGCAGAAACUAACAAAAAAAGACGCGUCAGCGCGCGGCGAGGCAACACAUCCUCUCUGACGUCAUUACGACCCGUGCCUUAUACACUCCACUCGUUUACGUGUUCUCACGUGGAUGGUCUGUGACCUCGACCGCUGUACGUUUUCAUUUACGAGUGCUGUUAUGUAGGCAGAAAUAUAUACUCACCAGGGCUGUGGGAUUCACACCCCUGUAGUGCAUGGAGCAUGCGUGGCAACACCAAAAGUAAAGCUGAAAGGCUGCCGGGAACUGGGUGCCCAAUUGUGGUCGUGGGUAGAAAGAGCUGGGGUGGCCUGUUGGGGGCCCAUUGUGCUGUUGCAACAUUGGAGCCCAGAAUCCCUAGCAGCACCUCUGGCUCGAUGGCCUCUCACUGAUUGGUGUCUCCCAGGACCUCACCGAGUGUGAGUGCGAGCGUGGAGAUUAAGCUGGAAAUGUUACGGGUGGCUUUGCGCACCAUAUGUACCAUGAUGUUAAGAACAAAAAUGAAAAUUUAAAAAACAGCAACAACAAAAAAACAAACAAAACAAAACAAAAAACUAAAUCAGGAGUGACUGGAUGAGGCUAUUUGUCAGAGCUGAGAUGGAUGCUGUUGAAAAGCUAGGCAGUCAGCCAGCCAGGCGGGCCAGCCGGCCGGUCCCAUGCAGUCAGUAUGAGUGCAGUCCAGUGGAUGUAGAGGCCUAUCAGUGCAGGGCCGAGGCAGUGUCUAUCUCUUUAUGGUGCUAUAGCCCCUUGAUCGCUCCUCGGGGGCCUCGCCACUCAGAAUAUGUCACUUUUGCAUUGUUAUUCUGACGCUUCUUCUUUUUUUUUUUUCUUUCCUCCACGUGUCCAAAACAUGUCAGGUUUCCCCUCCAAGCCAGAGACGAAGCCACUGACUAGUGUAGGACAUUUUAUAUGUGUGCAAUAUUGCAUACGUGCCAAUCGUGGCAUUGUAUCACCUGUAUAAACUAUUAAAAGACGAAAAAAAUGUAUAGGCUAUGUGAUCAGUAGAUAUUUGAAAGCAUGAUGAAGUGGAUGCAUCUGCAUUAUAUUUCCAAAAUGUGAAGACUUUUCUUCUCGAAGUGAAAAAAGUCAGACUUGUAGUGAGGUAUUUUUUUCCUGUCACUUUCUGUAAACCAGUAGGCUGCCUUGUCUGUCUCUCGGUGCACGUAGACUAGUUCGGGUGUUUUACGUCCUCCCUAUGGAGUCAGCCCAGAGAAAAAUCCCAUUCCCCUCCAAACACACGACACAGACCGUCAACAACCUCUCGCUGUCGCCAUGUCGGCCCCACUGCGGUGGCCUACAUUAAGUUUGAAUAGUAUCUUGGGGCUUGAGUCCAGGGGUGGCUGACACACACACACACACACACACACACACACACACACACACGCACACACACACUCUCCCCCUAUUGAGGCCUCUUGUUGCUAUCUGAGUGUUUGGGAGGCCUCUGAAGUGUUUUGAAUUGUGUCUAGAACUGCACAAGGCCUCCUGUCAUUAGAAGAAAGGAAACUGUGUGUUUGGAGCCUGAGUGCGAGCCCUCUCUCACCUGGGACUGCCGGACAGGUGAACCACAGUUUGACUUCGGCUUUUCUGUGGUUUCACUUCAGCUAGGCGAUAGUGAUCGGCUGCGGCCGAGCCAAAGGACAGAGGAGUUUGUUGUUGUUUUCAUAGCAAGGAUCACAAUUCUCUCUGAUGUGAGCGGACUCUCAUCGCAGUCUCGCUCCUCUUUCCCAGCUCGGCUUCACAGCGUCAAAAAAAAAAGCCACUGGCUUGUUGUCUGUGCAGUAUUCAUCAUUGAAGACAUGUUGUCCAUUCCUUGAUUUUGGCUCAGCUGACCUUUAGAUCUACACUAAGGUUCUGCUUAACUCUCAAUUUAUUUCAAGGGUUAAUAUGACUGAGCCUGGUCUCAGUCCCUGUCAGAGUGGCAUGCUACCUAGCUGACGUGAAGGGAACACUUUAGAGGCCUCAGCUGGAUAAAAGCGGCUAAUGCACUUACAACCGGGGCCUACCGUACAUGUAGGAGAGCUGAGGCUAUACCGAAGCAGAAGACCCUGGAGCACACCUGGGCUCAAAAGGUAUCACAAGUUGAAUCCGUACUUUUAAAAGCUGAUUUGUGUUUGAUUGGUUGCGUCUGUGACGACAGGAAAAAAAAAAUGUUCCAGAAAAUCCCAUCUGUUCCACACACAGGACUUUUUUUCUUUUUGGCCCGCGUUUGUCUCAGUGACAGUGAAAGGCCUGAUGAAGCCUGGCACUGCACUGUAAGGGCUUACCAGCAGCAGCAGCAGCCUACCACAACCUUCUGACCUGGCUGUAAACAAAUUGAAUUAGGACCUUUCUCUUUGUGUUUUGGAGAAGAACAGGAAAUCUUUCUCACCUCUCGGAGAGAUGAUUAUAUUUCCUCACACUGCCCUCGCUACAAAAAGCUCAUUUUCAUUGAACGCACGUAUGAGCCACCUAUGAAUAUGUGUCCAGAGAAGCACAUCUGAGGUCAACUCGAGUUCAUCUUGAGGUCAACAUGAGUCUGAAGUCUCUUUUGUGAUCCAGCACUUAUUCCCCAAAGUGUUCUAGCUUUAGCUUGAUCGAAUUUAGGCCUCCGGGAGGCCUCUGCUACAUGCUAAGACUGGAAAUAUGACGCUUCCUUUCUCUUUUUCUCUCUAGUGGCCAAAUAUGAGGAGAGCCUGAACAUGCUCAUAGAGUUCACUUUGUGAAUGCCUCACUCUGUGAAAACGCACACAGUUUGUUUGUUUGUUUGUUUCUCAAAAGAUUUACAGACAUGUUGUUUUGUUAUCGUCAGGUGCUACUUGGUCAACUGCGCUUUUAGCACCGAAUGAUCCCGUCGUGAAACGUGGCUCGUCCAUUUUCGGGUCUCAGCUCUCUCCGAGACCCGAAAAUGGUUACAGAGGAAGUGGCGUACUUCCAGCGUGGUCGAACCUGAUUUCGCGAUAGCUUACCCGGUGUCACAGUGACCUUGCAGCCAUGUUGUGCCCACAUUUACACAGUCAUCCAUCUCUAAGACUCAAAUGCAAAAUAGAAGGCGGAUGCUGUUCGCCUUGUUUUCUGUGUCAGCGGCAGGCCGCGUGCUGUCCUCGGCGGCUCCAGCCAGGAUAUUUCUUACUGAAAUAUGGCCUUUCCUGACUAUAUGACGAUGGUGCUUACUUUGGCUUUGACAUCAAGCUCAUCCUAUACAUCUCGACAUCAUCAUCAUAACUCGCGUCCUUACAUUUCUUUCUGUUAUGUACUCUCACUACCUUAUUAAAUUUCCGUUGAUGGCAACAAAAAAAAAAAAAGGUGUGCUGUUUUGUACAUUGCUGUUUGUUUUAAUGUUGAGGGAGCUUUGUUGUCUGAAAAAUGACUAAUGGCGCAAUAAAAUGUCAUUCCACA
RNA transcript from Archocentrus centrarchus (flier cichlid), 4123 nucleotides. It is a transcript of the gene named purine-rich element binding protein Ab, with no coding region annotated. Lineage: Eukaryota; Metazoa; Chordata; Actinopteri; Cichliformes; Cichlidae. The record is from RefSeq and is a predicted model, not a curated record. The transcript is spliced from 2 exons.